Molecule: ribosomal RNA, 254 nt
Filed under: uncultured bacterium
Lineage: Bacteria
Description: partial 16S ribosomal RNA
Rfam family: Bacterial small subunit ribosomal RNA
Source: RNAcentral
UACAGAGGGUGCGAGCGUUAAUCGGAAUUACUGGGCGUAAAGCGUGCGUAGACGGCUAUCUAAGUCGGGUGUGAAAGCCCCGGGCUCAACCUGGGAAUUACAUUCGAGACUGAAUAGCUAGGGUACGGUAGAGGGAAGUGGAAUUUCCGGUGUAGCGGUGAAAUGCGUAGAUAUCGGAAGGAACAUCAGUGGCGAAAGCGACUUCCUGGACCAGUACCGACGUUCAGGCACGAAAGCGUGGGGAGCAAACAGGA